Molecule: long non-coding RNA, 485 nt
Filed under: Anser brachyrhynchus (Pink-footed goose)
Lineage: Eukaryota; Metazoa; Chordata; Aves; Anseriformes; Anatidae
Description: lncRNA (ENSABRG00000010145.1)
Source: RNAcentral
GCCAACUGCCACAGUAUGUCAGUUGUAACUGUGAUUUUAUACAUUUUUAAGACUGGAACAAUAAACACGGCUCCAGCCUAAGGGCUGGAGACAUCCAAGGCCCUCAGCUGCUGCCACCAUAGAACCCACCUCUUAGGCCCUUAUUUCCUCAGCUGCCGAAUGAGGAUGCUCAUGUGUCUCUGCCUCACUCGUCCCAGGACAGGUGAGCACAUUAAAAGAUUGAAGGUUGCCUACAUCUUCUGAUGGUGGGAUCACAGAACCACCUUAUGGAUGCAGGUCAUGCUGCAGGAUGGAUGAAAUCCAAGUGCUGAGAGGAGCUUCAACUAGACCAACAGCAGUUGGCAGAGAGAUUCCCCAACUGGCAGGAGGAUGCCAGCAGCAAGAGUGGAAAGAUGAGGCUGGGAAUAAGAAGAUUGCUAACGCAGAUUUGCUGAAAGCAGCACCCUGGUAUAUUUCUUUGAAUAUCAGACAUUUGAAAACUGGGA